UGGAAAUAGGGUUAGAGAUAGUGAAAUCCAAAACUCUCUCCCUCCUUCAAGAGAAGAUCGUGAACUCUCUCCCUCCUUCAAAAGAAGAUCGUGAACGGUGAUGGUGGUGCGGCUGAUUCCUCUCCUCCGAUCGACAACUACAACUAACAUUGCCUUCUUCUCUUUUCAUCACAAAUGGCAGCGCGACCUCCAUCUCCAGCGAUAUCUCCUUUCCGUCUCCGUUUGAUCCUCUCCGUCUCCGAUUUUUUCGAUUCAUGUUAGUUUUUGUUCAACAUCAUGUUUUAUUAACCUAAUUUGUUUGAUUUUUACAGAGAUUAACACAAAUUCUAAAAGGGAAAACGAAACCCUAGUUGUGAAAAAAUGAAGCAGAAUAGGGUUCGAGAAGAAGAAAUUUGCACUGUAGAGAGAACUAAGGGAUUGGGUAGCGCGCCAUCUCCCGUGCACGAUUCUUCUUCCCAACCUUCACCUUUCUCUUUUCUCUGCGUACAAAUCUAACCCUUCUUCGCCUUUUUUGUCAAAUUCGCCUUCGAUUUUUGGACAUCAUUCCGGUUUCUCUAAUGAGUCUGGUACUCCUCCUAAACCUCCUAGGAAAGAACCCAAGACACCCCACAAGGUGAGGGUGCUUAAACAGAUUGGAGUUUACUAUUGUGAGGUCCUUUAAUUGAAUUGGAUCUAUAAUGGACUCCAUUGAUGGAUGUUGAGAGGCUUUAUGGAUGUUGAAAAAGUACAAAUCUAACAUUGUCUGAGGGCUGAGUUGCUAUCUUUUGUUCGGAUAAUCUUGUCAGUUGGUUCCUUUCUUCAUUUAUUUUAUGUCUUCUUCAACAUUCUAGCUGCCUGCGUGAUUAUGCCCCAGUUGAGGAGAGAAGAGUUUUGGUGCGCUUUCCUGUCUUACUAAUAUCUCUAGUUUAUUUGUCCUAUGUUUUUGCAGGCUGACAUGCCAUAAUUGGCUCAUAUUCACCUAUUUCCACUGCUAAAGGAAUUUUAGUUAAGUUUAAUGUUCCAGCUGCUGCAGUGAUGGAAGCAACUAUAGAUGAUGGUUUUGCUGCUAAACUUGAUGCUCUUGCAUAGCUUGAUGAUGAACCUGCUCCUGAUGCCCUAAAGAAUGCACCAUUUAACAUCAAAUCUCCACUUGAUCUCCAAUUCCAAUUCUUCCACUGGCUUUGCCUCGCAUUCUCGCGCUUCGUCACCUGAAAAAUUAGUUCGAUUGACAAAGAAAUUGACUCUAACUCAACUCGUCGGAGUUGCACGUCGACACCGCGAUUUAUAAAAUAGGUCAUUUAAUAUAUGCUUUGCCAAUCGGAGCUCUACAACUAGUGUGGAUCCGGUAUGAGCGUGAUGGAAAUGAGUCACAGAGCUGAAUCGCAAUGUGUGAUUCAUACAUAAUAUGAUGCAUUUGGAUCUGCCAUGGCAGUUACAGAGAUGAAGACCCAGGAGAUGGAGACCCAACUGACAAUGCUACAAGAAUCUAUACAUGGUUUACUGAGAUUUGAAGUUACAUUACACCACUUUUAAGUAAAUUUUUGGGGUUUAAGGUCUCUUUCUGUCUCUCAUAUUUUCUCAUUCAUAUGGUUUACUUAAAGCUGAUUUUAUUGUGUAUUAUGAAGAUGCUUUAACAAGAAGACCUGUUAAGUGGAUCUUCUCCUCAGGAUAUACGGCUCAUGUGAUGACAUUUGAGGUUGGAGCAGUGCUUGAGGAUUCCAAUUGGCAUGCUCCUGUGUACUGUUUCAAUCAGACUGAGAAGAUUUUGGAAUCGGCUGCUGUUCGUGGUGAUUCUUUUGGGAGUUUGAUGAGAGGCAAAUUUGACGAUGUUCGUGACAUUUAAGGAAAUGGAUUAAAUUGUAUAUGCCUUAUCUAUUUCUGUUUUGGGGAUAGGUAAGGAUUGUUUAGUGUAGUCAAAUAUUUAUAUCAAUUUUCCAUCAUCGUCUUGUAGGGAUAUGGAUGCAUAUUGUUUUCAUCCAAGCUCAUAUGUCAAGUUCAUUUAGUUUAUCUCAUCUUAAAAUUUUGGGAGAUGAUGAACUGAAUUGCUAAGUCUCAUAAGGGAUAAAAUAUAACUUAUUUUGAUGUAAAUAAGUAAUCUAGUGAUUAAUUAUAUA
Molecule: long non-coding RNA, 2093 nt
Organism: Vicia villosa (hairy vetch)
Lineage: Eukaryota; Viridiplantae; Streptophyta; Magnoliopsida; Fabales; Fabaceae
Exons: 6
Source: RefSeq, a predicted model, not a curated record